GAUGAACGCUGGCGGCGUGCCUAAUACAUGCAAGUCGAGCGAACGGACGAGAAGCUUGCUUUUCUGAUGUUAGCGGCGGACGGGUGAGUAACACGUGGAUAACCUACCUAUAAGACUGGGAUAACUUCGGGAAACCGGAGCUAAUACCGGAUAAUAUUUUGAACCGCAUGGUUCAAAAGUGAAAGACGGUCUUGCUGUCACUUAUAGAUGGAUCCGCGCUGCAUUAGCUAGUUGGUAAGGUAACGGCUUACCAAGGCAACGAUGCAUAGCCGACCUGAGAGGGUGAGCGGCCACACUGGAACUGAGACACGGUCCAGACUCCUACGGGAGGCAGCAGUAGGGAAUCUUCCGCAAUGGGCGAAAGCCUGACGGAGCAACGCCGCGUGAGUGAUGAAGGUCUUCGGAUCGUAAAACUCUGUUAUUAGGGAAGAACAUAUGUGUAAGUAACUGUGCACAUCUUGACGGUACCUAAUCAGAAAGCCACGGCUAACUACGU
Molecule: ribosomal RNA, 496 nt
Filed under: uncultured bacterium
Lineage: Bacteria
Description: partial 16S ribosomal RNA
Rfam family: Bacterial small subunit ribosomal RNA
Source: RNAcentral